CGGAGGCGGGGCGUGCGCAGAAGGCGCUCUCCGCCCUCUCCCUCCCGGCGGCGUCUGCUCGCUGGUCGUCGCGGGCGCGGGGAGCUGGUCGGCCGCGAGGGGAGGCAGGCGGGGCGGAGGGACGCCCGCUUCUCGAUCUUUCUCCGCCGCAGCCGGGCGACGUGCUCCCGCGGGCCCCGGCUGGGCUCCUCGUGGACGUUCCCGCAGGAGGCGCGCGGGGGGCCUCAUCGGUCAGGGACGCCUUCCCUCUCCAUUAUUUGUAUUCGUAUCGACUGGUCUAAUGUCUCUCCAGACUACAAAUGCCUCAUCUGGAAGGCCGUGGUCAUCCCAGCCUGCAGCGCCAUACCUGGGAGAAGUCCGUGCCCAGUCACGAGUGGGACAAGUAACUCUCUUAAACGCGCAGCUGCUGUCACGGAAAAGCGAAGGAGUGUUGAUGGGCAGGAGGCGUAGAAACCAGGAGAAUGCUGACCCGGACCCCACCCUGCAUGAAUCAAGGAUAAAUUUUUUACCUGAAAUCGAGAGCGCCUGCUGCUGGCAGAGCCGAAUGCGUGGGAGAAAACCAGACUUCCUUAAAGGCGGUGCCCCUAAAGGGAGUUUCAUGGAGAUGGAAGCUGGGAGGACCGAGGGCACGGAGUUUGGGGAGAAGAGGCAGAGGAGGCAAAAGCAAGGGAGUACCCACAGAGGGGUUGCUGCUGGGCAGUCACUUCAGGGGAGGCAGGAGACUCCCCAGAGUUUCUGAGAAGGAAUCUGCAAACAUUUCUGUGAGACGGAUCUAGCUGGGACAGUGGAAGUCCAUAGGCGUGGUCUGGGAUGUUUUUCAGUCAUGCAAGUGAGUUCACAGUGUCUGUGCUGGGCAGGAUAGUGAUACUAAGACCACAGAGAUCCCAGACGGGGGCCAGUCAUCAUGAGGCUCAUGAACAAAUUCAGCUUCCUUUCCAGUCAUCCUUUACAUGUUCUAAAAUGUUCCAUGACACACACUCGAACAGACAUAAUUUACCUAUUUGAAAUGACCUUCGAGUCUGCCUUCAUGUUGUAAGUUACAACCUUGGGAAGUAAGCACAAUUUCCUCUAAAAAACUGUGGAGACUGAAUAGCAAAGAUUUAAAGAAACUCGUCCUUUAUAUCACAAGGGGCAGAACAUUUGUAAAUGAAAACUUACAGAAUCAUGCUCGAGCAUCAGACUAAGCACAGCCUGGUCAUUCUCAUUUUUUUGCGGUGAUGAAUCACGUGCCUCACGCUCUGAAUUCUUACAGGACUCGUGCCAACAACAUGUAUUUGCCUGAAGAUCUUUUUCUCAGUAAAUUGAGGGAUAACCCAAACUUUUUCACUUUAAUCCAGUCUGAAUUGAAAUGGUUUUAAGCUUAUUUUUAUUUUCACAUGUCUCCUCUGGUGCUACUUUUUCCUUUGUGCAUGCUAUCAGAUAUUAACACAGGCCUAUGAACGUGUGGUCUGCGGACUCAUUCAACAUCGUUAUCCUUCUGUAUUUCAGCAUUAAUAUGAUGUGUUGAUCUUUUACUGUCUAAUAUUCUUAGCUUAUUACCCCAAGCCCACAACUCAAAUUUCAUUUCUGGAUAAUUUGGCUAGGUUUUGUGUUUUGUCUUUUUUUUUUAAUUUGUUAACGUAGCUACUAAAGUUAACUGAGCUUUUACUGCUCUGAAAUUUACAAAAUGAUGAGAGCAUAGUCGUUGUUUACAGCUUGGAUAAAAAUGGAGAGCCAUUUGGAUUUUGUACCAUUUCUUCUGGCAAUUUUCUCAAAGGAGUCAGCUGUGUCAAUAGUGGCUAUAAUUGGGAUGCCUGGGUGGCUCAGUGGGUUAAAGCCUCUGCCUUCUGCUCAGGUCAUGAUUCCAGGGUCCUGGGAUCGAGCCACGCAUCAGGCUCUCUGCUCAGCGGGGAGCCUGCUUCCCCCACCCCUCUCUGCCUACUUGUGAUCUCUGUCUGUCAAAUAAAUAAAUAAAAUCUUUUUUUAAAAAAUCUUAAAAAAUAUUUUUUAAAAAUGGUAUCUGUAAUUAGUAACUGUUUCAGCAACUGUUAUUAGUAACUCUAUCUGUUUUCUGUUGUCAUAAUACUACUAAUAAAUACAUAACAAGUAUUGUA
This is a long non-coding RNA of Mustela lutreola (European mink), 2093 nucleotides long. RefSeq lists it as uncharacterized. The transcript has 2 exons. NCBI's taxonomy places the organism in Eukaryota, Metazoa, Chordata, Mammalia, Carnivora, Mustelidae. The record is from RefSeq and is a predicted model, not a curated record.